This is a non-coding RNA of Caenorhabditis elegans, 130 nucleotides long. Lineage: Eukaryota; Metazoa; Nematoda; Chromadorea; Rhabditida; Rhabditidae. The record is from Ensembl.
UAUUCAAGUGUAUACUUGAAUCUAAUUGGACAUUAGGGAAUUGUGCAUUCUGAAGAAAUCUGAAGUGUUUUCAAACAUUAUUGGAAAAUAGUAUACAGUUCUGUCUGGUUGUGGAAGCGAUCGAAGAACU